Molecule: long non-coding RNA, 472 nt
Organism: Rosa rugosa (rugosa rose)
Lineage: Eukaryota; Viridiplantae; Streptophyta; Magnoliopsida; Rosales; Rosaceae
Exons: 3
Source: RefSeq, a predicted model, not a curated record
CAAGUUGCAGAGCUAGUUCAGUAAGGGACUUGGUUCAGUAUAUAAUUCUUGAUAUGUUUGUUGGUUCUUUCGCAGGUUCUUAUCGCAGUAAAUAGUGCCUCCAAGGAGAAAGCUCAGAAAUCCGCCGGAGAAGCAAUUGAAGACUUGGCCCACCCUCCGAUGAGAACUCUCUGACCUUGUUUCAGCUAUCAGUAUUAUUGCUCUGUUUGAUUGGUGACGAAGUGAAGCAAUAGGAAAAUGAAAUCUUGUUUAGGGGUUUUAGUGAAAUAAAUUUUUGGAGAGUGAGGGCGGUGAUGGAGCGGAGGGGGUCGGAGAGCUCAGAUCGAGUGUGGACGGAGGCGUUCUGGAGCUUCUCGGCGGUGGAGGCGGGGGAGCCCGAGGAGAGGGCGGCGCUGGUGUUCUCCGGUGGUUGCAGAGGAAGAGAAGAAGAAGAGAGGUCGAGGGAGAGAGAGGUCAGGGGAGAGAGAGAAGG